UGGCUCAGACGGUAAAGAAUCUGCCUGCAAUGCAGGAAACCCAGGUUCGAUUCCUGG
RNAcentral lists this transfer RNA (57 nucleotides) under Bos taurus (domestic cattle). It matches the Rfam family "tRNA", at positions 8 to 63 of the family's 71-position model. Rfam says of the family: Transfer RNA (tRNA) molecules are approximately 80 nucleotides in length. Their secondary structure includes four short double-helical elements and three loops (D, anti-codon, and T loops). The record is from Rfam by way of RNAcentral. Lineage: Eukaryota; Metazoa; Chordata; Mammalia; Artiodactyla; Bovidae. RNAcentral also lists the same sequence under 4 other names.